RNAcentral lists this ribosomal RNA (253 nucleotides) under uncultured bacterium. RNAcentral describes it as "partial 16S ribosomal RNA". It matches the Rfam family "Bacterial small subunit ribosomal RNA", at positions 524 to 776 of the family's 1533-position model. The record is from RNAcentral.
UACGGGGGGGGCAAGCGUUGUUCGGAAUUACUGGGCGUAAAGGGCUUGUAGGUGGCCAACUAAGUCAGACGUGAAAUCCCUCGGCUUAACCGGGGAACUGCGUCUGAUACUGGAUGGCUUGAGUGUGGGAGAGGGAUGCGGAAUUCCAGGUGUAGCGGUGAAAUGCGUAGAUAUCUGGAGGAACACCGGUGGCGAAGGCGGCAUCCUGGACCGGCAUUGACGCUGAGGAGCGAAAGCCAGGGGAGCAAACGGG